ACGAACCGUACGAACGUUAUUCGGAAUUACUGGGCUUAAAGGGUGCGUAGGCGGCUCGGAAAGUUGGGUGUGAAAGCCCUCAGCUCAACUGAGGAAUGGCGCCCAAAACUACCGAGCUCGAGGAAGACAGAGGUGAGUGGAACUUAGGGUGGAGCGGUGAAAUGCGUUGAUAUCCUAAGGAACACCAGUGGCGAAAGCGACUCACUGGGUCUUUUCUGACGCUGAGGCACGAAAGCUAGGGGAGCGAACGG
RNAcentral lists this ribosomal RNA (251 nucleotides) under uncultured prokaryote. RNAcentral's name for it is "partial 16S rRNA". It matches the Rfam family "Bacterial small subunit ribosomal RNA", at positions 525 to 775 of the family's 1533-position model. The record is from RNAcentral.